AUUGAACGCUGGCGGAAUGCUUUACACAUGCAAGUCGAACGGCAGCACGGGGGCAACCCUGGUGGCGAGUGGCGAACGGGUGAGUAAUACAUCGGAACGUGCCCAGUCGUGGGGGAUAACGUAGCGAAAGUUACGCUAAUACCGCAUACGAUCUACGGAUGAAAGCGGGGGACCGUAAGGCCCCGCGCGAUUGGAGCGGCCGAUGUCAGAUUAGGUAGUUGGUGAGGUAAAGGCUCACCAAGCCGACGAUCUGUAGCUGGUCUGAGAGGACGACCAGCCACACUGGGACUGAGACACAGCCCAGACUCCUACGGGAGGCAGCAGUGGGGAAUUUUGGACAAUGGGCGCAAGCCUGAUCCAGCCAUUCCGCGUGCAGGACGAAGGCCUUCGGGUUGUAAACUGCUUUUGUACGGAACGAAAAGGCUCUGGUUAAUACCUGGGGCUCAUGACGGUACCGUAAGGAUAAGCACCGGCUAACUACGUGCCAGCCGCCGCCGUAA
RNAcentral lists this ribosomal RNA (500 nucleotides) under uncultured bacterium. RNAcentral describes it as "partial 16S ribosomal RNA". It matches the Rfam family "Bacterial small subunit ribosomal RNA", at positions 30 to 523 of the family's 1533-position model. The record is from RNAcentral.